AUGCUUUUGUUGGAGCCUGAAUGCAAGAGCCAUUCUCACUGGGAUGCCACAGCUCUGGAGACUUCUCAUAGAUGGUGUUUGGAACACUCCAGGCUUGGAGAUGGGCCUUUAGACACUGCCUGUAGUACUGCUUAGCAACAGCUCUACAGACAUAAAGAGAUUGCAGUGGCUGCUCCCUCCUGGCUCCAUCAUUCAGUAAGAGCUCCACAGAGGUUGAAGAGAUCCUCCUGGCUUGGCGGACUACUCUGCUCUGAUGGAAGUACUAUGCUGGUCCAAACAUGAAAUAAUUCCCAACAUCAAGACUGAUUGAAACAUAUUCAGUGGAUCAUUUGCUCCAGGAGAAGCUGGUUGCCAUGUCUUGAGGACAGUAAACUCUCUGGGGAGGUUCCUGUGGUAAGGAACCAGGGCUCCUGGUAAUAGCCUCUGAGUGAGCCACCUUGAGAAUGGAUUGUCCAGCCCCAGUCAAGCUUUCAGAUGACUGUAGCCCCUGCCAGUGUCUUCACCACAAUCUCAUGAGAUCCCAAGCUACAACCACUCAGUUAAGUUAUUCCAAAAUUCCUGACUCACAGAAAUUGAGAUACAGAAGAGGUCACAGUUAAGAUCUUGAUGUUCUAUCUUGACCCAUAAUAUAGGAACUUCACCUUUUCAGAAGCACCAGGGAGAGCUGCCUGUGCCUGGCAGAAGCUGCCCAUGCCCCACUGAUAACCCUACAGUACUUCCUGUUCUGCUCAGUACUCCUGCUUCUUUCUACAAACAACUGUGAUUCUCCACCUGGGAGCUUCCUCUGGCCGCAGGAGCCUGCUCACCUGAUUGGGACACUCCAGCAGUACUGGUGAUAGAUGCCUGCAUUGACUUUUUUCCCUGCUGUGCCUUUCUUUCCACUCCCCUGCCAGUGCUUCCUGGAAUCAUCUCCCUCAUCAAUCUUUUGUUCCCAAAUUCUCUCUGAGUCUUUACCAAAAUCAUAGGCUUACUGUAAAAUGAUUUUUCAAUUAGUAGCUUUUCACCAUAACUUUUUUUGGGUAAUUUAUACCACUUUUUGGAUGACUCUUCUUGUUUAUGCUUUCACCUGAAAACAUACAAAAUAAAUAUAAUCUAAAAAUAAUAUUUUUUAUUUUAGACAAGAACACACUCAGAAAUUUUCUCAACACAAUUUCUAUGCAGAGAAGAGAUGUGGGACAGAUUUGAAUUGCUGUCAUACUUGUAUGAACCCAAGACAUUUUCCAAAACCAAGGAUAAAGACAGCAAUUUCUAUGACUCUGGCAUUUUACAUACAUGCACUGUUUGCAAGUGUUCUUGUGUUCUGUGCCUUAAACUUUCUCUGUUGCAGCUUAUGAACUGAAUUAAAGAUAAUCGCAAGCCCACAAUUGUCUCAAAAAGUGAAAAAGUAAAUGUUAUAGGAAGAAAAGCGGGAAAAACUUUAAGCAUGAAAUAAAAGAUGGUUGUGAUAAAAGAGGACUGAAGAGGGAAAAGGAAUGAAAGGUUCUGCCAUCCUUCAUGGCAGCCCACUCCACUUGGUAUGAGAUACUGCCCCCCUGACUGAAAGUUAACUGCUAUACUCCCUCUGCUUUCUAUAAAUGACUCCCUGUGCCUUUCCUCCACCACACAACUCAUACUCUCUUCCUUCCUAGUGAGUCCACUAAGCCUUCAUUGCAUUAUUACAUUUAUUUCAUUUAUGAGAAACUGACUUUAUUUUACUUCAAAUUGUUUUUUAUUGUUUAUAUGAGCUUGGUUUUAUUGUCAUUCUAUUUUUCUCCAUGAAAAUAGAGAAAAAUAGGGUUGAAAGUUUAGGUUGGGUGGAAAGGAAUUAUAUGUUUUCCCACUAAAAUUGAUGUAAAUAUUGUUUUCAAUUGAAUGAUUUUACACACUGGCACAGUUUCAGGUAUGUUGCUAAGCAGGAAAGUUGUUAAGCAAAGCAUGAAUGUAUUCAGGAGAUGUAUGCAGAAUGACAUGCAAGGUUAUCUAUGAUUGCUGAGUGAGAAAGAGCAAGUUGCUGAGUAUUAUGUAAGUAUGAUCUCACUUUUGU
RNAcentral lists this non-coding RNA (2023 nucleotides) under Pongo abelii (Sumatran orangutan). The record is from RNAcentral. Lineage: Eukaryota; Metazoa; Chordata; Mammalia; Primates; Hominidae.